Molecule: ribosomal RNA, 253 nt
Filed under: uncultured bacterium
Lineage: Bacteria
Description: partial 16S ribosomal RNA
Rfam family: Bacterial small subunit ribosomal RNA
Source: RNAcentral
UACGUAGGGUGCGAGCGUUAAUCGGAAUUACUGGGCGUAAAGCGUGCGCAGGCGGUCUUGUAAGACAGUCGUGAAAGCCCCGGGCUUAACCUGGGAACUGCGAUUGUGACUACAAGGCUAGAGUAUGUCAGAGGGGGGUAGAAUUCCACGUGUAGCAGUGAAAUGCGUAGAGAUGUGGAGGAAUACCGAUGGCGAAGGCAGCCCCCUGGGAUAAUACUGACGCUCAUGCACGAAAGCGUGGGGAGCAAACAGG